This 346-nucleotide unclassified non-coding RNA is filed under the name Hevea brasiliensis (rubber tree). Lineage: Eukaryota; Viridiplantae; Streptophyta; Magnoliopsida; Malpighiales; Euphorbiaceae. The record is from RNAcentral.
UGCCCAUGCAGCCUCUUUCUUAAUAUCAAAUUCAGCAUUUUGGAGCAAAUGAACAAGGGGAGCAACUAUAUUGGCAUCUAUAACGGCCUGAAUCUGUGCCUUGUUCCCGGCUGUUAUAUUAGAUAUAGUCCAGCAAGCCUCUUUCUUGAUGCUCUUCUUAUGAUUAUUAGUCAACAAAUUUAGCAGGCAAGGCAGGGCAUUAUGUUGGAUGAUAACCUGAGUUUGCAAAUCAUCGCCAGUGACGAUGUUUCCAACAGUUCGAAGGGCAGGAAUGAGCACUGAAGGAGCAGGAUGCAUUAAGAGCUCGACGAGACGAGGGCAAACACCUGCCUCAAUAACAGCUUGG